This 749-nucleotide unclassified non-coding RNA is filed under the name Hevea brasiliensis (rubber tree). Lineage: Eukaryota; Viridiplantae; Streptophyta; Magnoliopsida; Malpighiales; Euphorbiaceae. The record is from RNAcentral.
AAUGUCUUUAUUUGAUGUACUUGUGCUUAUUAUAUAGUUGUGAAUUUUAGUUUUACUUGUAUCCAUCAAUAUAUAGUUAUUUUACAAACUUUGCAAGUUUUUCAGAAAAAUUUAUGUAGUGCUAGGCUGUUACCAUUACUAUUACGUUAUGACUGUUAUAGUUCUGUUUCCAUUACCUGCGAUUGCGACUAUGAUUUGAAACCAUGCACCUCACAGAAGUGCCCAUUCCAAAUCAGAACUGGUUCAAAAUUUAAUUAGCUGAGAUUCAGAAGUUGAAAUUUCACCUUGACCGUCAAUAGGUUUAUUUAGGGCUAGACCUUGGCUUGGUCUACUUGAACUUUUAUUUUUUAUGUCUACUUAGAUCCUUUUCUGAUAGAAGUUAGGCACUUGAAAGACACACAAUGUUAAACUUGUGUUGAAGACACAAAAUUUCAUUAUCAUUUUAAAAAAAAGAGAGAAAGAAGAGGUCAAUUUAAUAGUUUUUUAAUUAAAUUUGUUAAAAAAUGAUGCAAUGUAGAACAUAAUAAAAGUUUGUGGACCCUAUGUGAAAAACAAUUAAUGUUCGUUGAUGCAAUGCGGCCAAAUACAACUAUGGGGGCUCAUUAGGAAAAAAAAAAUUGAAAGUUUAGGGAGCAAAAUUUGUUUCUAGUCUAACAAAAAUAAGUUGAAUAAAUGAAUUAGAAAAUUUCAUGAAUCAAAAGAGAUCAUUUUUGCUUUGAAGUUAUAGAAGGUUUUUUUUUUUUUUUUUU